This 269-nucleotide ribosomal RNA is filed under the name uncultured Planctomycetales bacterium. RNAcentral's name for it is "partial 16S ribosomal RNA". It matches the Rfam family "Bacterial small subunit ribosomal RNA", at positions 565 to 832 of the family's 1533-position model. The record is from RNAcentral. Lineage: Bacteria; Pseudomonadati; Planctomycetota; Planctomycetia; Planctomycetales.
GAGCACGUAGGUGGGUUUGUAAGUCAGAUGUGAAAGCCUUCUGUUCAACGGAAGAAUUGCAUCUGAAACUGCGAGUCUUAAGUGUAGGAGGGGAGAAUGGAACUUCUGGUGGAGCGGUGAAAUGCGUAGAUAUCAGAAGGAACGCCGGCGGCGAAAGCGAUUCUCUGGCCUAUUACUGACACUCAGUGUGCGAAAGCUAGGGAAGCAAACGGGAUUAGAUACCCCGGUAGUCCUAGCCGUAAACGAUGGGCACUAAGUAGAGGGGUUUU